RNAcentral lists this ribosomal RNA (415 nucleotides) under uncultured bacterium. RNAcentral's name for it is "bacterial SSU rRNA". It matches the Rfam family "Bacterial small subunit ribosomal RNA", at positions 355 to 767 of the family's 1533-position model. The record is from RNAcentral.
UAAGGAAUAUUGGUCAAUGGGCGCAAGCCUGAACCAGCCAUGCCGCGUGCAGGAAGACGGCCCUAUGGGUUGUAAACUGCUUUUGUCAGGGAAUAAACCCCCGCUCGUGAGCGGGGCUGAAGGUACCUGAAGAAUAAGCAUCGGCUAACUCCGUGCCAGCAGCCGCGGUAAUACGGAGGAUGCAAGCGUUAUCCGGAUUCAUUGGGUUUAAAGGGUGCGCAGGCGGAUUGGUAAGUCAGGGGUGAAAUCCCACAGCUCAACUGUGGAACUGCCUUUGAUACUGUCAGUCUAGAGUAUAGUUGAAGUGGGCGGAAUGUGUCAUGUAGCGGUGAAAUGCUUAGAUAUGACACAGAACACCGAUCGCGAAGGCAGCUCGCUAAUCUAUAACUGACGCUCAUGCACGAAAGCGUGGGGA